RNAcentral lists this ribosomal RNA (580 nucleotides) under uncultured eukaryote. RNAcentral describes it as "bacterial SSU rRNA". It matches the Rfam family "Eukaryotic small subunit ribosomal RNA", at positions 477 to 1055 of the family's 1831-position model. The record is from RNAcentral.
AUACCGAUGCGGGACCCUACGGGUGCCGCGUUCGGAAUGAGUACGAUUCGAACCACCUAACGAGGAACGAUCGGAGGGCAAGUCUGGUGCCAGCAGCCGCGGUAAUUCCAGCUCCAAUAGCGUACGUUAAAGUUGCUGCAGUUAAAAAGCUCGUAGUUGAACGUUCGGGUUCCGCGGGACGGGGCCGCCCCGCGAGGGACGGCGCCGCCCCGGGGCUCGUGAUAUCUUAUCUCGCCGCCCGUCGCGAGGCGGACGGAGGGAUGGAUGAGGUUACCUGGAAAAAAUCGGGGCGAUCUAGGCGGGCGAACCUCGCCAACGAACGAUCGGACAUGGGAUAACGGAAGAGGGCGUCGGCUCGACUUCGUCGGUUCCUCGGGGCCGAGGCACGUACGGUGAAUAGGGACGGUCGGGGCCGCCCGUACCGGGUCGUGAGAGGUGAAAUUCUAGGAUCGACCCGAGACGAACUGCCGCGAAAGCAUUCGGCAAGGACGCUUUCAUUAAUCAAGAACGAAAGUCGGGGGAUCGAAGACGAUCAGAUACCGUCGUAGUCCCGACCGUAAACGAUGCCGACCGAGGGCCC